GGAGAGAUGGCUGAGUGGACUAAAGCGUCGGAUUGUUAAUCCAUUGUGCGAGUUAUUUGUACAGAGGGUUCGAAUCCCUCUCUUUCCG
Molecule: non-coding RNA, 88 nt
Organism: Gossypium hirsutum (cotton)
Lineage: Eukaryota; Viridiplantae; Streptophyta; Magnoliopsida; Malvales; Malvaceae
Source: Rfam